GGGUGAGUAAUACGUGAGUAACCUACCUUUAACUCUGGGAUAAGCCUGGGAAACUGGGUCUAAUACCGGAUACGACCAAUCUCCGCAUGGGGUGUUGGUGGAAAGCGUUAUGUAGUGGUUAUAGAUGGGCUCACGGCCUAUCAGCUUGUUGGUGAGGUAACGGCUCACCAAGGCGACGACGGGUAGCCGGCCUGAGAGGGUGACCGGCCACACUGGGACUGAGACACGGCCCAG
This 234-nucleotide ribosomal RNA is filed under the name uncultured Actinomycetales bacterium. RNAcentral's name for it is "partial 16S ribosomal RNA". It matches the Rfam family "Bacterial small subunit ribosomal RNA", at positions 104 to 334 of the family's 1533-position model. Lineage: Bacteria; Bacillati; Actinomycetota; Actinomycetes; Actinomycetales. The record is from RNAcentral.